Molecule: ribosomal RNA, 253 nt
Filed under: uncultured bacterium
Lineage: Bacteria
Description: partial 16S ribosomal RNA
Rfam family: Bacterial small subunit ribosomal RNA
Source: RNAcentral
UACGGAGGGGGCAAGCGUUGUUCGGAUUUACUGGGCGUAAAGGGCGCGUAGGAGGUCGAUUAAGUUACUUGUGAAAUCUCUGAGCUUAACUCAGAGCGGCCAAGUAAUACUAUUUGACUAGAGUGCAGAAGGGGCAACUGUAAUUCUUGGUGUAGCGGUGAAAUGCGUAGAUAUCAAGAGGAACACCUGAGGCGAAGGCGGGUUGCUGGGCUUACACUGACGCUGAGGCGCGAAAGCUAGGGGAGCAAACCGG